RNAcentral lists this long non-coding RNA (1737 nucleotides) under Lupinus angustifolius (narrow-leaved blue lupine). Its description in RNAcentral is "long non-coding RNA (LANG_LNC000089)". Lineage: Eukaryota; Viridiplantae; Streptophyta; Magnoliopsida; Fabales; Fabaceae. The record is from RNAcentral.
GUGCGUAAAAAUAUAUGUAUUAUAUCUCUUCAAUUUUGUUUUUAAUUACUGUGCAAAUUUCAUGUCUGAUCAUUCUGUUCUGCGCAAUAGUUAAUCGAUUAAAUCUUGCCGUUAAUCGAUUAACUGGGUUGUUUCCAGCAGUUGGGUUUUAGUUCAAGAAGCGGUGAUUGAUAACCGCUACACCUAUUCAACCUCCCUUCUAGGUGUUCCUAGGCCACUAAUACCUAACACAACUAACUUUGGGAACCCUGCAAUUGAUAAUAGAUGCAAAAUAUUAGUGAUGGUUGUUAUGGAGAUUAAAGGCCUACAAUGAUUGAUCCAUCAUCCUUAAUUUAGAUGUUACAAUUAGAGCAAUAAUGAACCACCAAAAGCAAUCAGGAAUCGCUAGAAAGGCAAGCAUCUAAACAUCAGAGCACUUAUGGGAUUAAUCUAAUGAGAACGAGCCGUUGAUCAUAAAAAGGGAUAUCAACAGAUGCAAAUCAGAUUUGGUAUUGUAUCAGAUACUAUAUGGCAGCUUCAAUGCAUUGAAUCAGGAAAUCAGCAGGUCAUGGCAUGUUACAUAUUGUUGGUAAGUCAGAAAGUUUUCACAAACCAGCUAUAAAAACCCAUUCCGAGCACAGUGAAAAAGGGAUUACACAUACAUAACGAUAAGAAAAAUCAAAGAGCAAAAGAAAGAGAUUUUCAUCGCAGAAAAAGCAUAUAAGAGGUAGAGGUAUUCUGAAAAGGCAGGAAGUACCACUUUGCAUACAGGGUAAAAGGGAGCAUUGGGCCAAUCAACUAAAAAGGGAAGGCUAAAAAGGAUAAAGGGAGAGACUUUUGUACAAUACUCCUACUACACCCAUCCCAGUGUCAACGGUCCUAACAUGUAUUGUAGUGUCUGGUUCCUCUGAUUUUAAGACCUAAUCUUAUAAACUGAAUGGUUUCUAAUUAUGAACAGUAAGAGUAGUUACAAUAUACAAAAGCUUGUUUAACUUUAAUCCCUUGAUGUAAAGGUGUGGAACCUCCUUGUAUGUGAUGUUUAUUACCGCUAAUAGGGGUUUGAAUUUAUCUUCAUCAUUAUGCCAUUAAUAAACACGUUAGGAUAAGUUGAGAAAUUUCUCAACAAGGUUCCAUAAAAAAAACUCUUUAAGUAAGUCACGUCAUACCUUUCUUUUACCACACAAUGAUCAAAUAAAAUCCACACAGUUUUUAUCCAUAUUCGGAAGCUUGAUAAUUAAUUAGCCUCAAGAGUAAGACUCUUACCCUACAGCGGUGGAUUGAGCCACCGUUGAGCCUCCUUGGCUGUCCCGGUGUGACCAUACAUCACCACGCCAAUGGCCAGGACCUCCGUCGAGUUGGUAUCACAAUGAGAAGAUGAAGAAGGCGACCAUAUUUUUCUCUCCAACCAGUUUUGAAUGCACGGAAGCUAGAACUUCCCCUUCGGCGUUAUCUUCCAUCACCCAACUGAACCACCAUAACGACCAUGAUUCCGCUUUCACCAAAUCAAACGACCAUAAACCACCGAGAGUGGGAACCGAACCACCAUAAGCCACCUAGAACGGCACAAUCUCAGCCAUCGCGAGCUACCGCAACUCGUCACAAACCGUCACCAUCGCCGUCGAAGGAGUGAAGAAGAAGGGAGGCUAGGGAUUGAAAUCCCCUUUCUAAUUUGAGGGUCAAAAACCCGUAUGGGGUUACCCUCUCUUACUUCUUUAUUUCACUUACCCUUUAUUCAUUUACUUACACUUUUGUUUUUUU